GGGCCUGUAGUAUAACGGCAGAACAUCUCCAUGGCAUGGAGAAGGUCGGGGUUCAAUUCCCCGCAGGUCCACCA
Molecule: transfer RNA, 74 nt
Filed under: bacterium
Lineage: Bacteria
Description: tRNA-Ala
Rfam family: tRNA
About the family: Transfer RNA (tRNA) molecules are approximately 80 nucleotides in length. Their secondary structure includes four short double-helical elements and three loops (D, anti-codon, and T loops). Further hydrogen bonds mediate the characteristic L-shaped molecular structure. tRNAs have two regions of fundamental functional importance: the anti-codon, which is responsible for specific mRNA codon recognition, and the 3' end, to which the tRNAs corresponding amino acid is attached (by aminoacyl-tRNA synthetases). tRNAs cope with the degeneracy of the genetic code in two manners: having more than one tRNA (with a specific anti-codon) for a particular amino acid; and 'wobble' base-pairing, i.e. permitting non-standard base-pairing at the 3rd anti-codon position.
Source: RNAcentral